RNAcentral lists this ribosomal RNA (357 nucleotides) under uncultured bacterium. RNAcentral describes it as "bacterial SSU rRNA". It matches the Rfam family "Bacterial small subunit ribosomal RNA", at positions 9 to 353 of the family's 1533-position model. The record is from RNAcentral.
GAGUUUUGAUCAUGGCUCAGGAUGAACGCUAGCUACAGGCUUAACACAUGCAAGUCGAGGGGAAACGAUAUUGGAAGCUUGCUUCCGAUAGGCGUCGACCGGCGUACGGGUGAGUAACACGUAUCCAACCUGCCGUCUACUCUUUGGACAGCCUUCUGAAAGGAAGAUUAAUACAAGAUGGCAUCAUGAGUCCGCAUGUUCACAUGAUUAAAGGUAUUCCGGUAGACGAUGGGGAUGCGUUCCAUUAGAUAGUAGGCGGGGUAACGGCCCACCUAGUCUUCGAUGGAUAGGGGUUCUGAGAGGAAGGUCCCCCACAUUGGAACUGAGACACGGUCCAAACUCCUACGGGAGGCAGCA